This 274-nucleotide ribosomal RNA is filed under the name uncultured bacterium. RNAcentral describes it as "partial 16S ribosomal RNA". It matches the Rfam family "Bacterial small subunit ribosomal RNA", at positions 523 to 796 of the family's 1533-position model. The record is from RNAcentral.
AUACGUAGGUCCCGAACGUUGCGCGAAAUUACUGGGCGUAAAGGGUCCGUAGGCGGUCUGGUAAGUGGAAGGUGAAAGCCUGGGGCUCAACUCCAGAAUUGCCUUCCAAACUGCCGGACUUGAGGCAGGGAGAGGUCGGCGGAAUUCCCGGUGUAGCGGGGAAAUGCGUAGAUAUCGGGAGGAACACCAGUGGCGAAGGCGGCCGACUGGAACUGUCCUGACGCUGAGGGACGAAAGCCAGGGGAGCGAACCGGAUUAGAAACCCUAGUAGUCC